Molecule: ribosomal RNA, 502 nt
Filed under: Vibrio mediterranei
Lineage: Bacteria; Pseudomonadati; Pseudomonadota; Gammaproteobacteria; Vibrionales; Vibrionaceae
Description: bacterial SSU rRNA
Rfam family: Bacterial small subunit ribosomal RNA
Source: RNAcentral
CGUACAGCGCAUGCAGGUGGUUCGUUAAGUCAGAUGUGAAAGCCCGGGGCUCAACCUCGGAACUGCAUUUGAAACUGGCGGACUAGAGUACUGUAGAGGGGGGUAGAAUUUCAGGUGUAGCGGUGAAAUGCGUAGAGAUCUGAAGGAAUACCGGUGGCGAAGGCGGCCCCCUGGACAGAUACUGACACUCAGAUGCGAAAGCGUGGGGAGCAAACAGGAUUAGAUACCCUGGUAGUCCACGCCGUAAACGAUGUCUACUUGGAGGUUGUGGCCUUGAGCCGUGGCUUUCGGAGCUAACGCGUUAAGUAGACCGCCUGGGGAGUACGGUCGCAAGAUUAAAACUCAAAUGAAUUGACGGGGGCCCGCACAAGCGGUGGAGCAUGUGGUUUAAUUCGAUGCAACGCGAAGAACCUUACCUACUCUUGACAUCCAGAGAAGCCAGCGGAGACGCAGGUGUGCCUUCGGGAGCUCUGAGACAGGUGCUGCAUGGCUGUCGUCAGCU